This 1748-nucleotide long non-coding RNA is filed under the name Phoenix dactylifera (date palm). Its description in RNAcentral is "long non-coding RNA (PDAC_LNC000460)". Lineage: Eukaryota; Viridiplantae; Streptophyta; Magnoliopsida; Arecales; Arecaceae. The record is from RNAcentral.
AAAAAUUCUAGCCGUUUCUCGUUUGAUUCCGUUCUACUUUUCCUGUGUCGGGGCUUCCGUUUUUCCCCAAAGAAUUCACUUCCCGUCCAGCUUAAGCAGGCGCUUUGAAGCCAACAUCCGUCGAAGGGGAACUUUCAGUCGUGCCAAAAGAGGGGAACUUUCUGUGGGUGAUGGUUGUCGGUAUCCAGGGUUUCGUUUCUCUUUCCUACUGUUUCUGGUCUUGUUAAAUCGUCUAAUCGAAGUGCUUGCAGUGGAUCAUUGAUCGGUUCUUGAUGAGAGAUUGGAUGGUGGUGAAGGAACGAUGAGCGGCGGUGGCGGCGAGCCCGCUGCUGGGUUCGAUUCCAACUCCGUCGAGGUACUCUUUUCAAGAAUUUCUUUUUUCCUUUAAUUGAUUUGUUAAAGAUUGGAUUUUUCUUCGUUUCUUGAUGUUCUGGUUGCCUUGUUCUGGUAAAAUUUUAGUUUGUGAGCGGAUGAAAUCCAGCAGGCUUUGUUUCUACUUCGAUUUUGCCCUAGUUUUUGAGGUUUAAUUGAUGGUUUUAUUCUAAUUGCAACGGAAACAAUGCUCCAUCUCGAGUUCUCGCAUGUGUAUCCCUUCUGAAAAGUAUCAUGUCUCCGAUGCUCGCACAGGGUACUACCAGAUAUUAGGAUCCCGUCAAGUUGUGGCGCAUAUUGACAAAUAGCGUCAAUAUGAUCCAAGUAAAAAAAUAUUUAAUUAGAACCCAUAUUUGAUAAAUAUCUCUUAUCACCCAAAUGAGAAUUAUUUCACUUCUUUAAGUAACAUGGGCAAGGAGACAUCAUCUCAAGUUAUGAGUCUAGUCGCACAUCGGCCAGCCAAAAAAUCUUCACAUGUUUAAAUAACAUGUGUUGUCAGUCUCCAAUGUCUUCCAGAUGGUAAAGGUAUGAUUUAUUUUGGAAUCCACAUGCUCUGAUACCAUUGAUGCAUAAUUAAACCAUAAUCAUAAAUCAUACCUUCAUUUGCUAAAUUUAUCUUGAACUCUGAGAUGCAUGUAAUCUAAUUCGCAACCGCGAUCAAUAAGAAAUAAUUCUGAUCUAAACAAAAAUUAGCAGAGAGGUCUUCUGGCUGCAGAUGGUUACACUCGUGAAGAGUCACCUCCCAUCAAGAUAACCAUUUACUACUGCAAAAUUAUCUUAAUACCCUUAAGAUUAUCAGGAUUUACAAAAUUGAAGGAAUACUUGUCAAAUGUGGGUUCUAAUUAAACGGGAUCAGGAUUUAAUUAAACAGGAUCCAAACCGGAUUAUGCUAAAGUAUUAUUGGCGGUCAUACUGGGGAUAUGUGGAGCGGAUUGCUGGACAAUCCUUUUUCCCCCCAACAGAUCUCUUUAUACUCAGGUCUUGCUUGCACCCGUCACCAAAAUUAAACCGGAUGAUGGUAGGCUCCACUUGCAGGAGAGAAUGAAUGUUUCAGGUGACUGUAGACGCACCUCGGUCGCUGGAAGAACAUACGUCGUUGGGAACAGUUUCACUAUCGGACUUUGGGCUACAGGGCGUUGGGAAGAUCCUGAAGAUUUGUAAUGUUUUGGCUGACGACAAAAAGCCUUCCUCUCAAUCAUCUCGUCGUUAUUUGCUCGCUUUAGCCAAUGGAAUCGCUGCUCUGUUUUGCCGUCUGGCUUAGCACCUUUUUGUUGAUCUCUCCCCACUCUCUGUAUCUGUAACCUCUUUUACCCUCUGCAACUCUUGCUAAGUUGUAAAUUCUUGCUCUGAUUUUGAUUUUGAAUGUUCUUUUUCCU